CUGGAUAGCUCAUGACGUCACAACAGUGAAGCUACUGCGCCGCCAUCUUGGUAUUCCCUAACAUUCUGUACUCCUAUGUGUCUCAAUGGGAAAUCGUCUGUUUUGCAGCAUUACGUUCAGCGGCGCACGUGCGCACGUGUUUCAAUAGAAACAAGUUUAAGAAACUGAGUGCAGGCCUGAAUACGGUCCAGCUCACGGGCAUCAUUUAUAAAGUGAUCAAUUGGAAUAGACGAGGAGCAGGGCAGGACUGGUAAUCUGGACUACCGGACAUUUUUCCGGUGGACCGACAAACUUUGGGGCCGAUCAGGGUGGA
Long non-coding RNA from Xyrauchen texanus (razorback sucker), 313 nucleotides. RefSeq lists it as uncharacterized. The transcript is spliced from 3 exons. The record is from RefSeq and is a predicted model, not a curated record. NCBI's taxonomy places the organism in Eukaryota, Metazoa, Chordata, Actinopteri, Cypriniformes, Catostomidae.